GGUGCCACCAUCCGGUGGCCGCAGAGAAUAGGCCCAAGCGACUGUUUACCAAAAACAUAGGUUUCUGCUAAGUCGCAAGACGAUGUAUAGGAGCUGACGCCUGCCCGGUGCUGGAAGGUUAAGGGGAGCUGUUAGAGUAAUCGAAGCAGUGAACUUAAGCCCCAGUAAACGGCGGCCGUAACUAUAACGGUCCUAAGGUAGCGAAAUUCCUUGUCGGGUAAGU
RNAcentral lists this ribosomal RNA (223 nucleotides) under Clostridioides difficile. RNAcentral's name for it is "partial 23S ribosomal RNA". It matches the Rfam family "Bacterial large subunit ribosomal RNA", at positions 1747 to 1981 of the family's 2925-position model. Lineage: Bacteria; Bacillati; Bacillota; Clostridia; Peptostreptococcales; Peptostreptococcaceae. The record is from RNAcentral.